UACGAAGGGGGCUAGCGUUGCUCGGAUUGACUGGGCGUAAAGCGCGCGCAGGCGGUCCUUUAAGUCUGAUGUGAAAGCCCACGGCUCAACCGUGGAGGGUCAUUGGAAACUGGGGGACUUGAGUGCAGGAGAGAAGAGUGGAAUUCCACGUGUAGCGGUGAAAUGCGUAGAGAUGUGGAGGAACACCAGUGGCGAAGGCGGGUCUCUGGGCCGAUACUGACGCUGAGGAGCGAAAGCGUGGGGAGCGAACAGG
RNAcentral lists this ribosomal RNA (253 nucleotides) under uncultured bacterium. RNAcentral's name for it is "partial 16S ribosomal RNA". It matches the Rfam family "Bacterial small subunit ribosomal RNA", at positions 524 to 776 of the family's 1533-position model. The record is from RNAcentral.